RNAcentral lists this long non-coding RNA (227 nucleotides) under Setaria italica (foxtail millet). RNAcentral describes it as "long non-coding RNA (SITA_LNC001426)". The record is from RNAcentral. Lineage: Eukaryota; Viridiplantae; Streptophyta; Magnoliopsida; Poales; Poaceae.
CUCCGGAACCACGCCAAGGCCGUUGCAGACGACGCGGACCGCAUUCGCAGGGUGCCGUGCUCGCCACGCUCCGUGUCGAGCAGGUCCCUCAGCUUGGCGGUUUCGUCUGCAAGAACCACCCGGAAGACCCGCUAAAUCAAAAAUCACCGCGACAUCACAAAGAUAAAAGGAAUGAGCAGAGUCUUACCCUCGGACUAGGUCUUCAGCUGGCGUUCCCGGGCCACAGA